This 450-nucleotide ribosomal RNA is filed under the name uncultured bacterium. Its description in RNAcentral is "bacterial SSU rRNA". It matches the Rfam family "Bacterial small subunit ribosomal RNA", at positions 354 to 796 of the family's 1533-position model. The record is from RNAcentral.
GUGGGGAAUCUUCCGCAAUGGGCGAAAGCCUGACGGAGCAAUGCCGCGUGAGUGAUGAAGGAAUUCGUUCCGUAAAGCUCUUUUGUUUAUGACGAAUGUGCAGAUUGUAAAUAAUGAUCUGUAAUGACGGUAGUAAACGAAUAAGCCACGGCUAACUACGUGCCAGCAGCCGCGGUAAUACGUAGGUGGCGAGCGUUGUCCGGAAUUAUUGGGCGUAAAGAGCAUGUAGGCGGUUUUUUAAGUCUGGAGUGAAAAUGCGGGGCUCAACCCCGUAUGGCUCUGGAUACUGGAAGACUUGAGUGCAGGAGAGGAAAGGGGAAUUCCCAGUGUAGCGGUGAAAUGCGUAGAUAUUGGGAGGAACACCAGUGGCGAAGGCGCCUUUCUGGACUGUGUCUGACGCUGAGAUGCGAAAGCCAGGGUAGCGAACGGGAUUAGAAACCCUAGUAGUCC